This 237-nucleotide long non-coding RNA is filed under the name Elaeis guineensis (African oil palm). RNAcentral's name for it is "long non-coding RNA (EGUI_LNC046288)". Lineage: Eukaryota; Viridiplantae; Streptophyta; Magnoliopsida; Arecales; Arecaceae. The record is from RNAcentral.
GAUCUGAAUCUCUUCUUUAAAUCUAUGAAACCUUUUCAGAGAUUAAAGAUGGACUUCUGGAGGAGAUGAGGAUCUAAAAAAAAAUAUGGAGAGGAAACUAUUUUUUCUCUUAUUUCUCUUUCCCAAAUCCUGAGGACUAAAUCCUAGGGUUUUUGAUCAUGUGCUCACCCAAGAGAAGAGAACUCUUCUCUUCUUUUUCAUGUCAAGAAACACACCCCAAAGCCCCUCAACAUGGAG